RNAcentral lists this transfer RNA (77 nucleotides) under Methylibium petroleiphilum PM1. Its description in RNAcentral is "tRNA-Ile". The record is from RNAcentral. Lineage: Bacteria; Pseudomonadati; Pseudomonadota; Betaproteobacteria; Burkholderiales; Sphaerotilaceae.
UACGACGGUGAUUUCGUCAUCGUCGAGAUUCGUCCCUCCACGUACAACUCCAACGGCCGCAUGGUCAUCGAGAUCCG